UCCUGGGUGGUGCAAAUGGUUAGCAUACUUGGCUGCUAACCAAAAGGUUGGAGGUCCAAGUCCACCCAGAGGCA
RNAcentral lists this transfer RNA (74 nucleotides) under Loxodonta africana (African savanna elephant). It matches the Rfam family "tRNA". From Rfam's summary of the family: Transfer RNA (tRNA) molecules are approximately 80 nucleotides in length. Their secondary structure includes four short double-helical elements and three loops (D, anti-codon, and T loops). Lineage: Eukaryota; Metazoa; Chordata; Mammalia; Proboscidea; Elephantidae. The record is from Rfam by way of RNAcentral.